UGGGAACAUACCUUUUGGUUCGGAAUAGCUCAGGGAAACUUGGGGUAAUACCGGAUAAGCCCUUCGGGGAAAGAUUUAUCGCCAUUGGAUGGGCCCGCGUCGGAUUAGCUAGUUGGUGAGGUAACGGCUCACCAAGGCAACGAUCCGUAGCUGGUCUGAGAGGAUGAUCAGCCACACUGGGACUGAGACACGGCCCAGACUCCUACGGGAGGCAG
This 215-nucleotide ribosomal RNA is filed under the name uncultured bacterium. Its description in RNAcentral is "partial 16S ribosomal RNA". It matches the Rfam family "Bacterial small subunit ribosomal RNA", at positions 118 to 351 of the family's 1533-position model. The record is from RNAcentral.